GGCAUCGCUGGGUAGCUAUGUAGGGAAGGGAUAAGCGCUGAAAGCAUCUAAGUGCGAAGCCCCCCUCAAGAUGAGAUUUCCCAUGAUUUUAUAUCAGUAAGAGCCCUGAGAGAUGAUCAGGUAGAUAGGUUAGGAGUGUAAGUGUAGCGAUACAUGUAGCGGACUAAUACUAAUAGCUCGAGGACUUAUCCAAAA
RNAcentral lists this ribosomal RNA (195 nucleotides) under Escherichia coli. RNAcentral's name for it is "partial 23S ribosomal RNA". It matches the Rfam family "Bacterial large subunit ribosomal RNA", at positions 2734 to 2925 of the family's 2925-position model. Lineage: Bacteria; Pseudomonadati; Pseudomonadota; Gammaproteobacteria; Enterobacterales; Enterobacteriaceae. The record is from RNAcentral.